Molecule: ribosomal RNA, 253 nt
Filed under: uncultured bacterium
Lineage: Bacteria
Description: partial 16S ribosomal RNA
Rfam family: Bacterial small subunit ribosomal RNA
Source: RNAcentral
UACGAAGGGUGCUAGCGUUGCUCGGAAUCACUGGGCGUAAAGCGCACGUAGGCGGCUUUCUAAGUCAGGGGUGAAAUCCUGGAGCUCAACUCCAGAACUGCCUUUGAUACUGGGAGACUUGAGUCCGGGAGAGGUGAGUGGAACUGCGAGUGUAGAGGUGAAAUUCGUAGAUAUUCGCAAGAACACCAGCGGCGAAGGCGGCUCACUGGCCCGGUACUGACGCUGAGGUGCGAAAGCGUGGGGAGCAAACAGG